Molecule: signal recognition particle RNA, 305 nt
Filed under: Brachypodium distachyon (stiff brome)
Lineage: Eukaryota; Viridiplantae; Streptophyta; Magnoliopsida; Poales; Poaceae
Description: SRP RNA Plant_SRP
Rfam family: Plant signal recognition particle RNA
Source: Rfam by way of RNAcentral
GCUGAGCUCAGUAGCGAGAGCUUGUAACCCGAGUGGGAGCUUUGAGGUGGUGUGGACUUUGCCGUACAGUUGUGAACCUGGGCAGGGAAUUGCUACUGCUGGCCCGCCCGUUCCAAGUUGCGUAGUGGAUCUGCUGGGGCCUAUGCGAAAGCUGGGCCUCACGGAGCCUAGAGCGGCAGGCACCGCGUGAGGCUGGUUUCACAGAGCAGCGACCACUGCCCGCUUCCAACGGUGGAAGGAUAACGGGCCGCUGCAUUCCUGGCCCGCUUGGGUCUCAUAGCCUACUCCAAAGAACCACCACUACU